UCCGGUAUGGUGUAGUGGCUAACAUUUCGCGCUCUCAAAUUCUGAGGGAUUCACUGGAUACAGUUCCGCGGAGCCCGGGGUUCAAUUCCCCGUACCGGAG
This 100-nucleotide transfer RNA is filed under the name Hapsidospora chrysogenum ATCC 11550. RNAcentral describes it as "Acremonium chrysogenum ATCC 11550 tRNA-Glu". It matches the Rfam family "tRNA". From Rfam's summary of the family: Transfer RNA (tRNA) molecules are approximately 80 nucleotides in length. Their secondary structure includes four short double-helical elements and three loops (D, anti-codon, and T loops). Further hydrogen bonds mediate the characteristic L-shaped molecular structure. tRNAs have two regions of fundamental functional importance: the anti-codon, which is responsible for specific mRNA codon recognition, and the 3' end, to which the tRNAs corresponding amino acid is attached (by aminoacyl-tRNA synthetases). tRNAs cope with the degeneracy of the genetic code in two manners: having more than one tRNA (with a specific anti-codon) for a particular amino acid; and 'wobble' base-pairing, i.e. permitting non-standard base-pairing at the 3rd anti-codon position. Lineage: Eukaryota; Fungi; Ascomycota; Sordariomycetes; Hypocreales; Bionectriaceae. The record is from RNAcentral.